GACGAACGCUGGCGGCGUGCCUAAUACAUGCAAGUAGAACGCACAGUUUAUACCGUUGCUUGCUACACCAUAGACUGUGAGUUGCGAACGGGUGAGUAACGCGUAGGUAACCUGCCUGGUAGCGGGGGAUAACUAUUGGAAACGAUAGCUAAUACCUCAUAAUAUUAAUUAUUGCAUGAUAAUUAAUGGAAAGGUUCAAUUUCACACCUACAAGCGGGCCUUGCGUUGUAUUAGCUAGUAGGGGAGGUAACGGCUAACCUAGGCGAAGGUACAUAGCCGACCUGGGAGGGGGAUCGGCCACACUGGGAAUGGGACACGGCCCAGACUCCUACGGGAGGGAGCAGGAGGGGAUCUUCGGCAAAGGACGGAAGUCUGAACGAGCCACGCCGCGGGAGGGAAGAAGGUUUUCGGGUCGUAAAGAUCUGUUGUAAGGGAAGAACGGGUGUGAGAGUGGAAAGUUCACACUGUGACGGUAUCUUACCAGAAAGGGACGGCUAACUACGUG
RNAcentral lists this ribosomal RNA (505 nucleotides) under uncultured bacterium. RNAcentral's name for it is "partial 16S ribosomal RNA". It matches the Rfam family "Bacterial small subunit ribosomal RNA", at positions 28 to 507 of the family's 1533-position model. The record is from RNAcentral.